AGGACGAACGCUAGCGACGUGCCUAAGAAAUGCAAGUCGAACGGAGGGAGCAAUCCCUUAGUGGCGAACGGUCGCGUAACACGUGGGCAACCUGCCUCGAAGCGGGGGACAACAAGGGGAAACUCUUGCUAAUACCGCAUGUGAAUUGCUCCGGCAUCGGAGAGGAUUCAAAGCCGCAAGGCACUUCGAGAUCGGGCCCGCGGCCUAUCAGCUAGUUGGUGGGUAACGGCCUACCGAAGGCGACGACGGGU
This 251-nucleotide ribosomal RNA is filed under the name uncultured bacterium. Its description in RNAcentral is "partial small subunit ribosomal RNA". It matches the Rfam family "Bacterial small subunit ribosomal RNA", at positions 26 to 284 of the family's 1533-position model. The record is from RNAcentral.